AAAGCUCUUUCGCCUGUGAAGAUAAUGACUGUAGCAGGUAAAGAAACCCCGGCUAACUCCGUGCCAGCAGCCGCGGUAAUACGGAGGGGGUUAGCGUUGUUCGGAAUUACUGGGCGUAAAGCGCGCGUAGGCGGAUUAGUCAGUCAGAGGUGAAAUCCCAGGGCUCAACCCUGGAACUGCCUUUGAUACUGCUAGUCUUGAGUUCGAGAGAGGUGAGUGGAAUUCCGAGUGUAGAGGUGAAAUUCGUAGAUAUUCGGAGGAACACCAGUGGCGAAGGCGGCUCACUGGCUCGAUACUGACGCUGAGGUGCGAAAGUGUGGGGAGCAAACAGGAUUAGAUACCCUGGUAGUCCACACCGUAAACGAUGAAUGCCAGUCGUCGGCAAGUAUACUUGUCGGUGACACACCUAACGGAUUAAGCAUUCCGCCUGGGG
Molecule: ribosomal RNA, 433 nt
Filed under: uncultured bacterium
Lineage: Bacteria
Description: bacterial SSU rRNA
Rfam family: Bacterial small subunit ribosomal RNA
Source: RNAcentral